This 253-nucleotide ribosomal RNA is filed under the name uncultured bacterium. Its description in RNAcentral is "partial 16S ribosomal RNA". It matches the Rfam family "Bacterial small subunit ribosomal RNA", at positions 524 to 776 of the family's 1533-position model. The record is from RNAcentral.
UACAGAGGGGGCAAGCGUUGUUCGGAAUUACUGGGCGUAAAGCGUGUGUAGGUGGUCAAGAAAGUCGGUUGUGAAAUCCCUGGGCUCAACCCGGGAACUGCUUCCGAUACUUCAUGACUCGAAUUCGGUAGAGGGAGGCGGAACUCCAGGUGUAGCGGUGAAAUGCGUAGAUAUCUGGAAGAACACCAAUGGCGAAGGCAACCUCCUGGGCCUGAAUUGACACUGAGACACGAAAGCGUGGGGAGCAAACAGG